This 550-nucleotide ribosomal RNA is filed under the name Cryptorhynchinae gen. sp. ARC3488. RNAcentral describes it as "SSU rRNA". It matches the Rfam family "Eukaryotic small subunit ribosomal RNA", at positions 32 to 581 of the family's 1831-position model. Lineage: Eukaryota; Metazoa; Arthropoda; Insecta; Coleoptera; Curculionidae. The record is from RNAcentral.
UUGUCUCAAAGAUUAAGCCAUGCAUGUCUCAGUACAAGCCAAAUUAAGGUGAAACCGCGAAAGGCUCAUUAAAUCAGUUAUGGUUCCUUAGAUCGUACCCACAAUUACUUGGAUAACUGUGGUAAUUCUAGAGCUAAUACAUGCAAACAGAGCUCCGACCGGAGACGGAAGGAGUGCUUUUAUUAGAUCAAAACCAAUCGGUGGCGAUUGGUGACUCUGAAUAACUUUACGCUGAUCGCACGGUCAUCGCACCGGCGACGCAUCUUUCAAAUGUCUGCCUUAUCAACUGUCGAUGGUAGGUUCUGCGCCUACCAUGGUUGUAACGGGUAACGGGGAAUCAGGGUUCGAUUCCGGAGAGGGAGCCUGAGAAACGGCUACCACAUCCAAGGAAGGCAGCAGGCGCGCAAAUUACCCACUCCCGGCACGGGGAGGUAGUGACGAAAAAUAACGAUACGGGACUCAUCCGAGGCCCCGUAAUCGGAAUGAGUACACUCUAAACCCUUUAACGAGGAUCAAUUGGAGGGCAAGUCUGGUGCCAGCAGCCGCGGUA